GGUUCCUGAAAUAGGUUGGCUGUGAGGUGUUCACUUUCUAUAUGAUGAAUAUUAUACAGUCAGCCUCUUUCCGGCAUCC
Molecule: microRNA precursor, 79 nt
Organism: Callithrix jacchus (white-tufted-ear marmoset)
Lineage: Eukaryota; Metazoa; Chordata; Mammalia; Primates; Cebidae
Source: Ensembl